ACGCCAGUAGUUGGAUAAAACAUCCAAAGUCGGCACAGUCAAAGUUCACAACAACAAUGGAGGAAUUAACUGCAUCCUCAUUCCGCAGGGCAACAGGCCAUUUUCAGCAACCCCUGAAAUUCUUAAUUGAGGCUAAGUGCCCAUUUUCAGCUCGAACAAUGAAAAUUAAAGAGGCCUGUGCAAAUGUUGGGAUUUCCCUCUUGAAUGUGAUGCAAGGGAUGGUUCGCUGCACCUCAAAACAAAAUUUGAAUAUUGGCAUCAGAUUCAAGGACACCACCUGAAAGACACCCAAUGCUGUGAUUUGCUAGUGUGGAUUCCUAGUGACACUCAAAUAAUUCACAUUGACAAAGAUGUAUUAUGGUCAACCUUUUAAGCGUGAUAGAGUUUAAUUAUAAUAAUGAAGUAUUUUUGCAGUCUAAAACACACACACAUAACCACAUGUACAAAUACUUUAUUAUGAUAUCAGUGGUGCAUCUAUCAAAGUUAUGUAAUUACAUGUAUAUUUAUUGAAUAAACAUUAUAGACAGAGUUUUUCUUAUUUUA
Ostrea edulis (European flat oyster) is the source of this 543-nucleotide long non-coding RNA. RefSeq lists it as uncharacterized. The record is from RefSeq and is a predicted model, not a curated record. NCBI's taxonomy places the organism in Eukaryota, Metazoa, Mollusca, Bivalvia, Ostreida, Ostreidae. The transcript has 2 exons.